Long non-coding RNA from Drosophila biarmipes, 1001 nucleotides. RefSeq lists it as uncharacterized. The transcript has 3 exons. NCBI's taxonomy places the organism in Eukaryota, Metazoa, Arthropoda, Insecta, Diptera, Drosophilidae. The record is from RefSeq and is a predicted model, not a curated record.
AUAUGCUGAGCACACUCAUCCGAGAUUCCCAGUCGGGGUACACAUAGGGUAUACGGCUAUAGGCCGCCCAGCUCUUCACACCCUUUCCCGGGAGCACGCAAUCUUCAAAUGUAUGUUCGCGAUGCGGGAUAAUAUUUCCAUAAGGUUACAUUUGUCAUUACAGCUGGAGUUGUGCCGGAAUUGAAGGGGACCGAUGAGGUUCUCAAGUGCAAGAACCCCAAGGACAUCGUUCCCAGAAACGGCAAGCUUGUGCUAUCCCUACGGACUAAUGAAGAAGUUGCGAGAAACCCGAAUACUCAUAGGCCGCAAGCUCUAUUUAAUAUACAAUACUCAACUAUCUGUACCUCCUGGUACACUCCCCCGUGAAGACCUCGAUUGGCUGUGGGAUGGAAGUCCGCACAGCGGGACCAGACAACGGCGGACAUACAAAAUCCCGAGCGCCAAGAAAGUUCUUCCGGCCGGGGUCGGGGCCAAAAAGAUGAGAGCCCUUCUUACAUGGACUCACUCACACGGGCACACGACUCCGGCAAAUCUUUUGCACAAACAUAAUUUUGAAACAGACACACGACUGGGGAAGAUUCGACCUGCCAGCCCCCUCGCAAACGGGAACAUCUUGGGAAAUCUGGGCAGCAAAUUGCAGGCAAUCCACGCAAAUGGCUUAGAACAACGGGUGGCAUUAAAGUCGAAAGGGCGGGGGCGUCGGCGGAUGAAAAGGGAGGGCUACUUGGCUGGGCGAAUAAUUUUUCGCGCAGCCCCAAAACUUUUCGCCCAGGACACCCCUAGUCCAAUGGCGUGCCAGGCAUAAAUCACGGCGAGCAUGGAGAAAAACUUGGAGCGAAGUUUAUCCCCCUGCCCGGGAACGGAGCCAACGGCGGAUCUGCGAAAUUUGUCUUGGCGUUCGGAUUUAUGUUUUUGCGACGCUUCUCGAAACAAACACUGAAGGAGAAAACGCCAAGGAGUGCGAGGCCUUGAUACACACUCGAAAACAAAUGGCCAACGUU